Molecule: ribosomal RNA, 442 nt
Filed under: uncultured bacterium
Lineage: Bacteria
Description: partial 16S ribosomal RNA
Rfam family: Bacterial small subunit ribosomal RNA
Source: RNAcentral
CCUACGGGAGGCUGCAGUGGGGGAUAUUGCACAAUGGGGGAAACCCUGAUGCAGCGACGCCGCGUGGGCGAAGAAGUAUUUCGGUAUGUAAAGCCCUAUCAGCAGGGAAGAAGAAAUGACGGUACCUGAGUAAGAAGCACCGGCUAAAUACGUGCCAGCAGCCGCGGUAAUACGUAUGGUGCAAGCGUUAUCCGGAUUUACUGGGUGUAAAGGGAGCGCAGGCGGCACGGCAAGCCUGAUGUGAAAGCCCGCGGCCCAACCGCGGGACUGCAUUGGGAACUACCGGGCUGGAGUGCCGGAGAGGUAGGCGGAAUUCCUAGUGUAGCGGUGAAAUGCGUAGAUAUUAGGAGGAACACCAGUGGCGAAGGCGGCUUACUAAACUGCCACUGACAUUGAUGCUCGAAAGUGUGGGUAUCAAACAGGAUUAGAUACCCGAGUAGUC